AUGCUCCCUUUGGCAGCGCAUCUACUAACAUUAGAACAAUCCAGAGAUUAGCAAGGCCCCUUUGCAAGGAUGACAUGCAAAUUCAUGAAGGGUUCCCAUAUUUU
Molecule: small nuclear RNA, 104 nt
Organism: Cavia porcellus (domestic guinea pig)
Lineage: Eukaryota; Metazoa; Chordata; Mammalia; Rodentia; Caviidae
Source: Ensembl